UAUCUUCUGUGGUGCUCGUUAUCAUUCUCGUGGUAACUUGAGCCGAUAAGAUAUAAAAUAGGGAGUCUGAAAGCAGCGUUGUUGUGAGAUCCAUUUACUUGGAAAUCCUGAUAUGCUACCGAGAACACCCACUUGAACCUCUGGUUCAAGUUCAACGGCUGAAACGACAUUAUGGUUGAUAC
RNAcentral lists this non-coding RNA (182 nucleotides) under Legionellales bacterium. RNAcentral's name for it is "6S RNA". It matches the Rfam family "6S / SsrS RNA". From Rfam's summary of the family: E. coli 6S RNA was the first non coding RNA to be sequenced, but its function was unknown until recently. Lineage: Bacteria; Pseudomonadati; Pseudomonadota; Gammaproteobacteria; Legionellales. The record is from RNAcentral.